AUUGAACGCUGGCGGCAGGCCUAACACAUGCAAGUCGAGCGGAUGAAAGGGGCUUGCUCCUGGAUUCAGCGGCGGACGGGUGAGUAAUACGCAGGAAUCUACCUAGUAGUGGGGGAUAACGUUUCGAAAGGGGCGCUAAUACCGCAUACGUUCUGAGGAAGAAAGCAGGGGAUCGCAAGACCUUGCGCUAUUAGAUGAGCUUGCGUCCGAUUAGCUAGUUGGUGGGUAAAGGCCUACCAAGGCGACGAUCGGUAACUGGUCUGAGAGGAUGAUCAGUCACACUGGAACUGAGACACGGUCCAGACUCCUACGGGAGGCAGCAGUGGGGAAUUUUGGACAAUGGGCGCAAGCCUGAUCCAGCCAUGCCGCGUGAGUGAAGAAGGCCUGGUUGUAAG
Molecule: ribosomal RNA, 395 nt
Filed under: uncultured bacterium
Lineage: Bacteria
Description: bacterial SSU rRNA
Rfam family: Bacterial small subunit ribosomal RNA
Source: RNAcentral